Molecule: ribosomal RNA, 254 nt
Filed under: uncultured bacterium
Lineage: Bacteria
Description: partial 16S ribosomal RNA
Rfam family: Bacterial small subunit ribosomal RNA
Source: RNAcentral
UACGUAGGGUGCGAGCGUUGUCCGGAAUUAUUGGGCGUAAAGAGCUUGUAGGUGGCUCGUUGCGUCGGGAGUGAAAACCUGCGGCUUAACCGCAGGCCUGCUUCCGAUACGGGCGAGCUAGAGUUCGGCAGGGGAGACUGGAAUUCCUGGUGUAGCGGUGGAAUGCGCAGAUAUCAGGAGGAACACCGGUGGCGAAGGCGGGUCUCUGGGGCCGAUACUGACACUGAGAAGCGAAAGCGUGGGGAGCGAACAGG